AACCUAUUGAAUCUCACAACAUAUGUUUGGAUAGCACUUCCCAGCCUACAACGCACUUUCUCAGGGAUUCUCAAACUUCCUCCCACCUCACAUCCUUUUAAGGCAAGUGAGUGUGGGAACUCUGGUUCAGGGAAGUUAAAUCACUUGCCUAAGGUCAUGCAGAUCAUUAAUGCCAUAGCCAAGACCUGAGCACGUUCUCCUAAAGCCAGGUCAGGCCUCUUGUCACAUACUCCAUUGACUCUAGUGCCUAACCCAUGCUCAUCACAGAGCUCACAUUGGAACCAUUGUUAAACAGACUCUAAUGGAAAUGACUUCGUUCAGCUGGUGAACAUUUUGGAAGAUUCCAGAAAAACAUGAACAAGUGUUUGAGUGCUCUUAAGGGGAUUGUCUAAUAUCUUGGCUCCUGACUCAUCCUUAGAAGUCUUCCAGCCACCUUGUACCCAUUUCAAGCCCAAGGGCUCUUUAACGUAAAUGAGUUACUGAGCAGAAAAGAACAGAGAAAGAUCCAGUGCAAAAACUCAUAGGAAAUGAUCAAUUCAUGCCAAGUGAUGAGAACUAGAGAAGAGAGAUGAGAGCAUUGUUCAUACACGAUGGUCUAGGUCUCCUACCCCAAGAGAACUUGCAACAAAGCCCAAAGUACAACAGCCACGUUUAAAGAGAAGAUUCCAUUUCAGCCAGACAACAUGAUUCAUCAUAUUUAUUUAAUAUUGUUAAUUUGAAUUUUAUUAGAUCUGUACUGAUGUUUGUAUUUAAUUUCUAAUUUGUUUUGGUUUCAUAAUUCACUAAAACAAUAAGCACAAAGAGUUUCUAUCUGACUUUAUAUAUUAACAUUUUAAUAAAAGUCUUUUAUAUACUCA
Molecule: long non-coding RNA, 857 nt
Filed under: Homo sapiens (human)
Lineage: Eukaryota; Metazoa; Chordata; Mammalia; Primates; Hominidae
Description: long intergenic non-protein coding RNA 3064
Source: RNAcentral